This 489-nucleotide ribosomal RNA is filed under the name uncultured bacterium. RNAcentral's name for it is "partial 16S ribosomal RNA". It matches the Rfam family "Bacterial small subunit ribosomal RNA", at positions 28 to 507 of the family's 1533-position model. The record is from RNAcentral.
GAUGAACGCUAGCUACAGGCUUAACACAUGCAAGUCGAGGGGCAGCAUGAACUUAGCUUGCUAAGUUUGAUGGCGACCGGCGCACGGGUGAGUAACACGUAUCCAACCUGCCGAUGACUCGGGGAUAGCCUUUCGAAAGAAAGAUUAAUACCCGAUGGCAUAGUUCUUCCGCAUGGUAGAACUAUUAAAGAAUUUCGGUCAUCGAUGGGGAUGCGUUCCAUUAGGUUGUUGGCGGGGUAACGGCCCACCAAGCCUUCGAUGGAUAGGGGUUCUGAGAGGAAGGUCCCCCACAUUGGAACUGAGACACGGUCCAAACUCCUACGGGAGGCAGCAGUGAGGAAUAUUGGUCAAUGGACGAGAGUCUGAACCAGCCAAGUAGCGUGAAGGAUGACUGCCCUAUGGGUUGUAAACUUCUUUUAUACGGGAAUAAAGUGAGGCACGGGUGCCUUUUUGUAUGUACCGGAUGAAUAAGGAUCGGCUAACUCCGUG